Molecule: long non-coding RNA, 370 nt
Filed under: Heterocephalus glaber (naked mole-rat)
Lineage: Eukaryota; Metazoa; Chordata; Mammalia; Rodentia; Bathyergidae
Description: lncRNA (ENSHGLG00100032414.2)
Source: RNAcentral
UGGACAGGGCCCUACUUGAAGGGACUGGAUCUUGAAGCCAUGACCUCAUGACUGUGUCUGGCCCCUGGCCUCUAUCUUUCUGGCUCUUCCUUUCUGUCCCUGUUUCCUGGCUGCCAUAAGGGAAACAGCUUUCCUUCACCACACCCUUCUGGCAUAAUGUUUCUGCCUGACACAGGCCUAGAAGUAAUGGAGCCAUGUAACCAAGGACUGAAACCUCGGACUGAAACCUCUGAAACUAGGCAGCUAUGGGAUUUGGCGACUCCAGCUCAGCAGUUGACAGGAAACUCAAGCGUGGUCUCAUGUGGCUCAGGGGCCACACUCAGAGUUCCCCUAAGCAACCCUGCACGAACCACCAGCCCCAACUCACACA